AUUCUCUCUCUAUUUGACGGUAGGAUUCUCUCUCUAUUUGACGGUAGGAUUCUCUCUCUAUUUGACGGUAGGAUUCUCUCUGUUUGACGGUAGGAUUCUCUCUAUUUGACGGUAGGAUUCUCUCUCUAUUUGACGGUAGGAUUCUCUCUCUAUUUGACGGUAGGAUUCUCUCUCUAUUUGACGGUAGGAUUCUCUCUAUUUGAUGGUAGGAUUCUCUCUCUAUUUGACGGUAGGAUUCUCUCUCUCUAUUUGACGGUAGGAUUCUCUCUAUUUGACGGUAGGAUUCUCUCUCUAUUUGACGGUAGGAUUCUCUCUCUCUAUUUGACGGAUUCUCUCUCUCUAUUUGACGGUAGGAUUCUCUCUCUCUAUUUGACGGAUUCUCUCUCUCUAUUUGACGGUAGGAUUCUCUCUCUCUAUUUGACGGUAGGAUUCUCUCUCUCUAUUU
Oncorhynchus tshawytscha (Chinook salmon) is the source of this 445-nucleotide long non-coding RNA. The record is from Ensembl. NCBI's taxonomy places the organism in Eukaryota, Metazoa, Chordata, Actinopteri, Salmoniformes, Salmonidae.